GAGGUGCCCCAUUACCUUCCUGCCUUUUAAUUGUUGCUCAGUGUCAGAGGAGGACUGCUGGAGCUCCUGAUGAAACCAAGUUCAUGGUCUUGCCUCCUGGCCCUGCCAGCCUUGCUCUGGAGCCAAAUGCCUACCAAAAGAUCCUUCUCCUUGUGCACAGGAUGCUGGGCAAGAGGUCUGGAUGGAUACAGAAAGCUGUCACACUGGCCUGCUGCCCUUGGGAAAAGGCAGAGGGGUCCAUUGAGCUGGUAAACAUGUAAGCCGUUUGUGGAUGGCAAGGCUGAAAGAACACACUGUGACAUGCACCUACUUGGGCUUUGGGAGUCGCAGAUGCCCACCAGUGCCUAGAUGCUGUGGAACCCAAAAGCACUCGCCCUGGCUCCUGCACCUGCCCAUCUGUGUGCUACCCCUCCUGUCAGAGGUUUGAGCAGAAGCAGCAACCAAACAGACGAGCCACACCUCUGUCACACGUCUGGGAACUCUCUAGUUUCACUAACUUAGAACUUUUCUUUCUUUUUUUUUUUUUUUGAGACAGAGUUUUGCUCUUGUUACCCAGGCUGGAGUGCAAUGGCGCAAUCUCAGCUCACCGCAACCUCCGCCUCCUGGGUUCAGGCAAUUCUCCUGCCUCAGCCUCCUGAGUAGCUGGGAUUACAGGCACGCGCCACCAUGCCCAGCUAAUUUUUUGUAUUUUUAGUAGAGACAGGGUUUCACCAUGUUGACCAGGAUGGUCUCGAUCUCUUGACCUCGUGAUCCACCCGCCUCAGCCUCCCAAAGUGCUGGGAUUACAGGCAUGAGCCACCACGCCUGGCCUAGAACUUUUCUCCGUCUCUAUGCCCUGGUGUCAAACACAGUGCCUGCCAUGUAGAAAAGCACAAUGCAUGCAGUGAGCCUCUGUUGUUCUGGGUCCCAACUGAGAACUUGAAAACAUCCCCAUCACUCAAUAUGAGAAUGGUUAAAUGAACAGUGGUAUACACAGUAAAGGUGAUACUUCUUCAGACUAAUGAUCUUGGAAAUGUCUCU
This 1020-nucleotide long non-coding RNA is filed under the name Callithrix jacchus (white-tufted-ear marmoset). Its description in RNAcentral is "lncRNA (ENSCJAG00000071622.1)". Lineage: Eukaryota; Metazoa; Chordata; Mammalia; Primates; Cebidae. The record is from RNAcentral.